AUUUAUGUAGUUUAAUAAAACCUUACAUUUUCAUUGUAAAAAUAAAGAAUAGUCUUUUAUAAAUAUAAAUU
This 71-nucleotide transfer RNA is filed under the name Oreogeton sp. DY-2020. Its description in RNAcentral is "tRNA-Glu". It matches the Rfam family "tRNA". Rfam says of the family: Transfer RNA (tRNA) molecules are approximately 80 nucleotides in length. The record is from RNAcentral. Lineage: Eukaryota; Metazoa; Arthropoda; Insecta; Diptera; Empididae.